AUGGUGUAAUGGUUAGCACUUUGGACUCUGAACCCAACGAACCGAGUUCAUAUCUCGGU
RNAcentral lists this transfer RNA (59 nucleotides) under Aedes aegypti (yellow fever mosquito). It matches the Rfam family "tRNA", at positions 7 to 64 of the family's 71-position model. From Rfam's summary of the family: Transfer RNA (tRNA) molecules are approximately 80 nucleotides in length. Lineage: Eukaryota; Metazoa; Arthropoda; Insecta; Diptera; Culicidae. The record is from Rfam by way of RNAcentral.